Molecule: ribosomal RNA, 1367 nt
Filed under: Pedobacter sp. O48
Lineage: Bacteria; Pseudomonadati; Bacteroidota; Sphingobacteriia; Sphingobacteriales; Sphingobacteriaceae
Description: bacterial SSU rRNA
Rfam family: Bacterial small subunit ribosomal RNA
Source: RNAcentral
AGUCGAACGAUAGAUACCAGCUUGCUGGUAUCAAAAGUGGCGCACGGGUGCGUAACGCGUAUGCAACCUACCUCAAUCAGGGGGAUAGCCCGAAGAAAUUCGGAUUAACACCGCAUAAAAACACAGUACAGCAUUGUACAAUGUUCAAAUAUUUAUAGGAUUGAGAUGGGCAUGCGUGUCAUUAGCUAGUUGGCGGGGUAACGGCCCACCAAGGCGACGAUGACUAGGGGAUCUGAGAGGAUGACCCCCCACACUGGUACUGAGACACGGACCAGACUCCUACGGGAGGCAGCAGUAAGGAAUAUUGGUCAAUGGAGGCAACUCUGAACCAGCCAUGCCGCGUGCAGGAAGACAGCCCUCUGGGUCGUAAACUGCUUUUAUUCGGGAAUAAACCUGCUUACGUGUAAGUAGCUGAAUGUACCGAAGGAAUAAGGAUCGGCUAACUCCGUGCCAGCAGCCGCGGUAAUACGGAGGAUCCAAGCGUUAUCCGGAUUUAUUGGGUUUAAAGGGUGCGUAGGCGGCUUAUUAAGUCAGGGGUGAAAGACGGUGGCUCAACCAUCGCAGUGCCCUUGAUACUGAUGAGCUUGAAUGAACUAGAGGUAGGCGGAAUGUGACAAGUAGCGGUGAAAUGCAUAGAUAUGUCACAGAACACCGAUUGCGAAGGCAGCUUACUAUGGUUUUAUUGACGCUGAGGCACGAAAGCGUGGGGAUCAAACAGGAUUAGAUACCCUGGUAGUCCACGCCCUAAACGAUGAAUACUCGCUGUUAGCGAUAUACAGUUAGCGGCUAAGCGAAAGCGUUAAGUAUUCCACCUGGGGAGUACGCCCGCAAGGGUGAAACUCAAAGGAAUUGACGGGGGCCCGCACAAGCGGAGGAGCAUGUGGUUUAAUUCGAUGAUACGCGAGGAACCUUACCCGGGCUUGAAAGUUAGUGAAUUAUCUAGAGAUAGAUAAGUGAGCAAUCACACGAAACUAGGUGCUGCAUGGCUGUCGUCAGCUCGUGCCGUGAGGUGUUGGGUUAAGUCCCGCAACGAGCGCAACCCCUAUGUUUAGUUGCCAGCACGUUAAGGUGGGGACUCUAAACAGACUGCCUGUGCAAACAGAGAGGAAGGAGGGGACGACGUCAAGUCAUCAUGGCCCUUACGUCCGGGGCUACACACGUGCUACAAUGGAUGGUACAGAGGGCAGCAAGCUGGCAACAGCAAGCAAAUCUCAAAAAGCCAUUCACAGUUCGGAUAGAGGUCUGCAACUCGACCUCUUGAAGUUGGAUUCGCUAGUAAUCGCGUAUCAGCAAUGACGCGGUGAAUACGUUCCCGGGCCUUGUACACACCGCCCGUCAAGCCAUGGAAGUUGGGGGUACCUAAAGUA